Molecule: non-coding RNA, 10015 nt
Organism: Microcebus murinus (gray mouse lemur)
Lineage: Eukaryota; Metazoa; Chordata; Mammalia; Primates; Cheirogaleidae
Source: RefSeq, a predicted model, not a curated record
UACUAUCAGGGUUGCGCCUCCUGCUCCUCUGCCCUGGUCCUGAAGCGGGGAGGGGCCGCGUGUGCCCCCGCUCUUGGCAUCAGGACUGGUCUGCUCGGGCCCUCCAUCCACCCGCCUGUGCCCAGCGCAGGGUUCUGUGUUCCAGAACCAACUCCGGUUUCUUUAGUUCUCAGGCGGGUUUAUUGUUGGUUUCGCCUGGUGGGGCUUAACUACCUCUCCGCGUCCCCAGAUCUUUUUUCGUGGUCCUGAGUACUUUCCAUUCUUUUUUAGUCUACAUAUGUUACUUAGUCCUUACUGCGUUUCGGGCAAAAAGAAUAACAGUAGUGGCUAACAAACACCACUGAGGAUGUUCUAGUGCAAUUAGAGAUGAUAUACAAGUUCCUGAAUAAACCACCUGCUAGUUGUAAAUUUUGGAGACUGAAAUAGAGUGGGGUUAGGAAGUGGAUCCCUCAGAGUGGCUAGUCAGGAAAGGCCUCCGGGAAGGUGAUAUUUUCGUUGAAACCUACAUGUUUAGAGGGAACCAGCCAUGCAGAAUAGUUGGAGGAGAACUCUUUAAAAAGUGCACGCCAGAUGCAGCUUAAAGCGUGCUGCUUCUAUUAAAGAUAAAAGCAUGAUUCAUUGGCCAUUUAAAUAUGAUUGUUUUAUAUUUGAGACAAGAAACAGGAUCGAUCCAGGGUUGGGUUUUGUUUUGCUGCCAGAUAAAGUGACCAUCCAAGAUUGCCUUCUAAUGGCCAGUAAUUUUGUCAGAAUGGUGCUGCAACUUCAGAUGGUGAAUCUAUGGACUGGUGAAUCUUCUGGGGAACUGAUCACAGCCGCACAUGAGCUUGGAGUUGCCCAUCCUCCUGGCUAUCCUUUGUUCACACUGGUGGCUAAACUGGCAAUUAAACUGUUUCCUUUUGGUUCAGUUGCCUACCGCGUCAAUCUUCUCUGUGGCUUAUUUGGAGCAGUAGCUGCAUCGUUACUUUUUUUCACUGUUUUCAGGCUUUCUGGCUCAUAUGCUGGAGGAAUCCUUGCUGCGGGGGUGUUUUCAUUUUCUCGUCUAACAUGGCAGUGGUCCAUUGCAGCAGAGGUUUUUAGCUUAAACAAUCUGUUUGUGGGGCUGCUUAUGGCUCUUACUGUACAUUUUGAGGAGGCGGCAUCUGCAAAGGAGAGAUCAAAGAUAGCUAAAAUUGGUGCUUUCUGCUGUGGCCUUAGCUUAUGUAAUCAGCACACAAUAGUGCUCUAUAUUUUGUGCAUAAUACCUUGGAUUCUCGUUCGACUUUUAAAAGAGAAGGAACUCUCCCUGGGCUUUCUGCUGAGGUUGGGUCUGUACUUCUCUGCUGGUUUGCUGCCUUAUGUCUACCUUCCUAUCUCAUCCUACCUCAACCAAGCCCGGUGGACCUGGGGAGACCAGACAACACUGCUAGGAUUUUUGACGCAUUUUCUCAGGGAAGAAUAUGGAACAUUCAGCCUGGCCAAAUCUGAAAUAGGAUCAAGUAUGUCUAAAAUGUUGCUUUCUCAAGUAACAAAUAUGAGGACCGAACUCUCAUUCAACAUCCAAGCCCUCGCAAUUUGGGCAAAUAUAUGUUUAGCAAGAAAGGACAGACAGAAUCCAUCAUUAGUAUGGCUUUUUACUGGAAUGUUUUGCAUUUAUUCAUUGUUCUUUGCCUGGAGGGCAAAUUUAGAUAUUUCGAACCCACUUUUCAUGGGUGUGGUGGAACGAUUCUGGAUGCAGAGCAAUGCGGUGGUGGCUGUCCUGGCUGGCAUUGGUUUGGCUGCCCUUGCAUCUGAGAGUAACAGAGUGCUGAACAGCCAUGGGCCUCAGUGCUUGGAGUGGCUCUCAGCAGCUCUUUUUGUAGUUUACCAAAUAUAUUCUAAUUAUAGCAUUUGUGACCAAAGGACCAACUAUGUGAUCGAUAAAUUUGCAAAGAACCUUCUAGCCUCUAUGCCUCGUGAUGCAAUUAUCUUACUCAGAGGAGAUUUGCCAGGGAAUUCCCUCCGUUACAUGCAUUACUGUGAGGGGUUGAGGCCAGAUGUUUCAUUAGUGGAUCAGGAAAUGAUGACUUAUGAGUGGUAUUUACCCAAGAUGGCAAAGCAUUUACCAGGUGUCAACUUCCCUGGGAACCGGUGGAAUCCUGUGGAAGGAAUAUUACCUAGUGGAAUGGUCACAUUUAAUCUUUAUCGUUUUCUCGAAAUAAAUAAACAAAAAGAAACAUUUGUUUGCAUAGGAAUUCAUGAAGGGGACCCAACCUGGAAAAAGAACUAUUCACUUUGGCCAUGGGGGUCUUGUGACAAAUUGGUUCCUUCAGAGAUUGUAUUCAACCCUGAGGAAUGGAUUAAAGUUACAAAAAAUAUGUAUAACUGGACUGAAGAAUAUGGAAGGUUUGAUUCAACUUCUUGGGAAUCCGUGGCCAAUGAAGAGAUGUGGCAAGCAAGGAUGAAAACACCUUUCUUCAUCUUUAACCUGGCAGAGACUGCUAAUAUGCCUUCAAGUUUGAAAGCUCAACUCUACAUUCAUGCAUAUAACAGUCACCUGGAGGCAGUUCCUCAACUUGCAGACAUGUGCUUAUUUAAGGUGAUUAUCAAACUUUGAGUCAUGACAUCAACAUAGUGGAAACUGACCAGCUUUUUCUUAAUGAAAUAGAAUAAAAAAUAUCCUAAUGCAUUUGAGGAAACAAGGAUGGAAAUUUGAAGGAGAAUUAGAAGGCUUAGAGAUGGGAAAUUUGGAGAAGAAAAGAAUAAUGUCCUGAGAUUUCUGGAGGGGCUAACUGAGAACAGAAUCCAUUCCAGCUAGACUAAGCAGAAAGGGACUUACUAUAUGGCGUUAAACGGCUAACAGAAUUACUGGAAGGGCUGAAGAGACAGGCUCUGGGUUUAACCUUUCCAGGAUGACUCUCAAAAUUGCUCUGCAGAACUGGCCACCAAAAGAACUGUGGUUGUAGAAACAACCAGGCAGCUCCCUGACAAAAUGGGAAGCUAUCGCUCCUGCCCCCAACUCCAGAACCAUGACACUCCCACCACCCUCAGGAAGCCACCAUGGUCAGGAAGUCCCUGCAACUGCUACAUCCUGAACUACCCAAUGCCCACUAGACUCCCUACCUGCAAAGCUGCUGACCCUCCGCUGCCUUCCAACACAUACAAAGCCAGAGAUGAGACGUGGGGAAAUGAAAUACCUCCGGCUAUGCUUGCCAGCAAAAGGAACAGAUCAGAGGCUGUGUCUCGCUGCCGCCCACCAAGUCCCAGGUGAGUGCAUCUGCAUGGCUGGACUAGGUACGCGUCCGGAACCCUCAAUGCAAGGGCAUCUGGGAAAUACCGUGUUAGUUUUCUAACCUCUGUAGUGCAGAAGGCAUUCUAGAAACCAGUUAGAUUGAAUGUUGAACACUGUAUUGAAUGUUGAACACAAUACACUGUAUCUGCUACUCUUCAAACAAUUACAGAAGUGAAAACAUUGGGGUUUUUUUGAAAAAGUAUAUUUACAAACUAUGCAAGAGCAAAUAGUUGCUUUUUGACCAAAAUAAGUGCACAUUCAGAAAUGUAUAAAUUAGUAAUGCAGGAUUGUUUUAACAAGGGCUUAUGGGUAUUGAGGUCAACACAAAAUAAAGGAGGAUGGGAAUUCUCUAUUUCCUCUAUUCCUGUGAUAGAGGAAUUAGCAAAGGUCAAUGCAAUUGUAUCUGUUUAUCUGACCCCAGAGCACAUUAAUCAGUACAUUGAUUAGAACAUGCAGAAGGGCUAAAGACGGCCAAUUUUACUCACUAAUGACACAAAAGCUGGUAGGGGUUUGCCUGCUCUGAAGACCAGACCAGAGAAGGGAAACUAUUUUAUCAUCAGUGGAAUGGGUGAAAGUUGUAGGAACUGGGUCUGCAUGCACGAGCUGUUGGAAUCAACGUGCUUCCAGAAAGAAUCAGAGGGCCUUCCUACAGGAAAAAAACACCAAACAAAAACUAGGGCAUCUUCUGCUUCUCCAUUGUCAUUUGAGAAGCUACCCUGGGACUACUUGGGCAGGAGACUAACCCCAUCCUUGGGACACUUCUGGAAGGCAGAGUGGGAAGUCUGAACAAAGCUGUUUAUGCUACAGGAAAAGAGCAGCUUAGAAAAAGAAUUUCUGGGAACUCAAAAUCAAAUGAUCCAAGAAACUAUGAGACAUACAUUGUUGCAAGGCUUUCAGAAGCUGGUGACCACUCAUAAAUCAAAGCAUACCCUAUAACCAGAGAACAGAGGCUGCUGUUUACAGAAGAGACAGGAGGUGCAUAGGAGCAGAAAGACUUGGCAGGGAUUAUCCUGCAAGGAACCCUCACAAGCGUCAUGCAUUUCACCGCAGGAAGUCAGAAGCCCAGCUGAGAACCAGAGCCUGACACGGGGAGCUGAGUCCAGACGGCCAUGCAGAGUAGGGUUCCCCAACAUCCCCUGUGUCAAGGUCAAUCCCAUUGUGCUUUGACGGGAAGCAGAGCCAACUCUUCUAAAGCUUUGAGUUACUUACGACUUUCAGCAUAGACAUUAGCUGUUUUAAUCUUUUCAUUUAUUUACUUAUUUAACAUUUUUUAAGUAUCUGCUAUGUGUCAGGUAAUAUGAAAAUCAUAGAUAUAGGACUUUAGGGGGUUUAUAGUUUUACAAGGACCUAAGAUAGGUAAAGAAGCAAUUACCCUAUAAGGUGCAACUGCUCUGAUAAGGGAAACACGGAGAGUUGGACAGAAAACCCGUCCAGACUCAGAGUGGGGGCUGGGGAAGGGGAGGGGAGCGAGCGGAAGGGCCAGAGCAGGAGGGGAGAGAGGAUUCAGGAAUGGGGACCAGCAAGUGCAAUGCCUGGGAUGGGGGAGAGAGGACGGCGCAUUCAAGGACUUUAAAGCCAUUCUGGGUGGCUACAAUGCGGAACUGGGGUGGAAGUGGCAAGAAUGAGGCCACAGAAGCAAGCAUGGCCAGCCGGUGAGGGCUCGCCACAGUGAAGGUUCUGGAUUUUCUCCUGAGAAAUGGGAAACUAGUGAAAGAGUUUUCAGCUGGAGAGUGAUGCCGCGUAAACUGUGAAUGAUCGUGGAGACAGCAACGUGGAGAAUAGACCGGGGGCAAGGGACAAGAGGGGAGAAAAGACCCCAGCGGGCAGUGGUUGCAAUCACCAGGUGAUGAUGGCCUGAGCUAGUCCGAUGGCAGUGGGGAUGAAGACAGACAGACAUAUUCUAGAACCUCAAACCGUGAAUGGGCUUUCAACACUGCCCGGCAAUCCUGGCAAGCUUGAUUUCUCACUCUCCAAGACAACCAUUGCAAGUGAUCUUCUGUCCUCCAGACGUGGGCUCCCUCUCCUCCACUCCCCAGCCCUCGCCAAUGAAGUUGAGAAAAUAGAAGCCAUUAGAAAGGAUCCCCCCCACACACACACACCCAUCAGAACCAUCUGCCUCUGUGUCUGCCUUCCCUCCUCCACUCCCAAACCCUCUUCCCAUCACAGGCCAACCUGUCUCAAUUCUGAAGUUGCUGGCCACCUUCUCACAGACUCUGUUUGGGUCUCUGCUCUUCUACAUCAUUUCAUUGGUGUCUCGUGUUCUCUCUCUCUCUUUUUUUCUCUCUCAGCAUAUUAGUUAAUAUAUACUCUAGUGUCUUCUGUCUGAAGAGGAAAUUUCCCUUACACUUCGCCCUUUCCCUGUUACAACCCUCCGUAAUCUGGCUUUGCCUCUGUCUCCAAGCCCACCUGGGUCGGUAGUACUCCUGGCUCCUACACUUCAGCCAUACUGGCCCCAAAUACUCCAAACCCUUUUCUACGUGAGGGAUUGUGUGAAAACUGCUCCAUAUGCCUGAAAAAGAUCUCACCAUUUGUACUGGGUCAAAUAGUGUCUCCCCAAAAUUGCCACCUUACUUAGAAAUAGUGUCUUUGUACAUGUGAUUAGUUAAGAUGAAGUCAUGCUGGAUUAGGGUGACCCCUAAAUCCAAUGAAUGGCAUCCGUACGAGAAGAGGAAAGGACGCACACAGAUGCAGACACAGAAGGAACAGGGCAUGUGAAGGCGGAGGCAGAAAUUGGAGUGGUGUGUCUAUAAGCCAAGGAACGCCAGGGCUUGCCAGCGGCCACCGCAGCUGGCAAGAGUAAAGGAAGGAUUCUUCCCUAGAACAUUUGGAGGGGACACAGCCCUGCCAGUCCUCUGAUUUCUGACUUCCAGCCUCCAGAAUGGUGAGAGAAUACAUUUCUGCUGUUUUAAGCCCCCUACUUUGAGGUAAUUUGCUACGGCUGCCCUAGGAAACUACUACACCAUUCUUCACUCACGUCGCGUCCCUUCCCAGCCCUCUCUCUUCCUUAGGAGGCUCUUCUCUGGCCAUCUUAUCAAAGAGCUUCUCUCAUAUUUUUCUCCUUUGUUGAAACUGGUUCAUCUUGAUAUUCCUUAGCAUGACAGGAAAUCAUAUAUGUAUUGCUCCAUACAGAGGGUCUACCUCUCCAGUACUGGCCUGAAACAUGGCAACUCUCCAAUGGAUGUCUGAUGAAUGAGUGAAAUGGUGAAUGAGUGAAUGAGGUGUUCAGGAGCUAGAGGGGACAGGACUUGUGACUGUUUAGAUGCGAGGGGAAGGGCUGGAGUGGUGGGGGCGCCCAGCUCUGGCUGGAGUCCUUGGCAGAGCCGGGCUCCCCUCCCCGAGCUGCAGAGCUCCACAGGAAGAGCGAGCUUGGAGGAAAGGGAGUGAGUUCAGUUUUGGAGUUGUGAGUCCAAGGUGCCGGCGGGGCAUUCUAAAGCAGAUGUCAACCAGCUGGUAUCCCUGUUCCUGCCUCUCUCUGCCCCAUCCCCUCUCCCAGUCUGUUUGCAACGCAGCAGCCAGAGUGAUCUUUUGAAAAUCUGAGUAGAUGACAUCCCUCCUCUGCUCACCACCCUUGGGUAGCUCUCACAUCCUCUGCAUUUAUUUAUUAUCUGACUUCCCGUACUCUAGUAAGAUUCAUGCUUCAUGAGGGUGGGGUUUCCUGUCUGUUUUGCUCACUACUGUACAUCCAGCACCUAUAGCAGUGUCUGGCAGACAGGAGAUAGUCAACAGAAUGUUUGUUGAACGGAAGAAUUAGAUUUCAGUAGAGUCUGGAUAGAUGGGUCUGGCACUGAGGAGUGAGUUCCAGGCUGGAGAGGAGGAUUGGAGGUGCCGACUGACAGGAGGUGCACGAAGCCUCUGGUGUGGAUGUGACCUCCCAUGGGACGCGCAUAGACCAGCAGUAAAUGAAGGCCCAGGAGAGAGCCCCGAGAGACAUCAACCUUUAAGAGAAGGGCAGAGGCAGAUCCUGAGCAAGUAUCAUGGAAGAUGCACUCCCAAGAGCACCCCAGUGUUCGCUCUGCUUUGAAGACAAACAGCCCCUCAUAAUUAGAAACAGCUGUGUUCACAUCCAGGUGUUCAUGCUUCCCUUCCCACUAUUUUUCAGAAACAUCAUAAAGAACCACUCCUGACAGUGUGAAACAUCCUGGGUUGUUUUUUGAAAAAAAUCUGUCCAUUCUUACGUGUUGAGUUUGUUAUGAACACGAUUGCAAUCUGCUUAAAAAAAAGAGAGAGAGAGAGAAGGGCCGAGGAAGUGGUGUCCUCCAAAGAGAUGAGAAGUCAGCUUGUGUGGCACCAAUUGGACACAGAUGGAUCAACGGGGAAUCACGAUACAAACUGAUAAAGGCCACCCCGGGCCGAGCAUGGGGUAUCAUGAGAGUCCUUCAGAGGACACUCUCCCAGAUUUGCAUGAAAUGAAAGGCUUCCCAAGCAAGGUGAGAACUGCAGUGGGUUCAGGGGUUAGCUAAGCCACAAAAGGGAGUAAGGUGCUCCAGGCAGAGCGAACAGCAUAGCAAAGGCACAGAAGCGUGAGGGAAUGUGGUGUGUUUGGGGAGUAGCAAAUAUGCCUUGUGCCUCAUGGACAGGAGUGAAGGCUGCAGUCACAGGGAAAGGGUGUGGGGUGCUGAGGCCACCUAGAGAAGGGCCCUGCGUGCCACACUCAGGAGUAUGGACUUUGUAAGAGAAUGGGCACGAUGAGGCCAGAGGACCAUAUGGGGGUGGGGCCCCCUCCUUCAUGUUUGUAUUCAAAGCUAGCAAAGGGCUAGUGUUUAGCCCUCCAAAUGGCAGCCAAAUGCUAAACAAUGGGAGGCUGUUCCAUCCUACAGCCUGCUUCUUCUAUCAAGAUACCUCAGCCCAAAUCUGAAAGGUUGAUCUUUGAUAUGACUUCACAGUUUCCUAUUCCCAGACAGUCCCUAGAUUCUCUCUCCUAACCACCUCCCAGGAGUUGAACGGUGACCUCCCGGUGCUGGCUGCACUAAUCCCUGCAAGGCCCUCUUCACUCCUGCCUGUGGCAGCUAAGGAGUGAAAUAUCCUUCUAGGCCCUGCCAACUUAGGCUUGAUAUUCAACUUGGUCUUCAAUUUAUCCCUGAAUUGGAGAGGGGGAGGAUUUCAUCUCCCUCCAUGUUUCCAAAGUGUUUGCAGACACCAUGCAUAGGAGCCUGAGUUGGCUUGGCAGAGACAUCCACGUGCUUGCUUUGGAAGGCUUGGUGGGGGCCCACAGAGGCUGGCAGUUAAGGCAGCUCCCAUGGCAGGGUCAACUCUCAACAUCACUCUGUGUGUUCUACAUGGUAUUUGAUAAACACCAGGAAAGAGGAGACCUCAGCAUCGUGAACCAGUUUCUUGCUGAAUCAUUCACAUGCUGUAGCGUUUCCUUCCACGCUCAGAGGCAAUGCGGGGGUGCCUCUGGUCAGGACGUUGCCCCGCUGUUCCCAGACCCUUCAUGUCCUGUCACUGUGUUUGCUACAUUGGACGUUGCCUUUCCCCCUCUCCUCUGCUGGCCGGAAGCAGCACACCCAGCAUCCCAAAGUUCCACAAGUCCCCAUCAGGAGCACUCCAUUCAGUACUGCUUUUUGGCUACAGUCCUAUUUCUUUGCCUUCAAAGAUUGGCAGAAAACUUCCCACACAGUUCUCUACUUACACAUUCAGAAUGAAAUGUGUAAUUUUUAUUGUAAAUUGAGAUGUUUCUAGGGAGGUCAGUGAACCACACUGAGCCUUCAAACAUUCCUGACUAAGUCUGUUGUCCAACACGCCUUUGCAUUUCACUGACAACCUGUUUGCUUUCUUGAGAUGACUGCACAUUGCCCUGGUUAUUAAGGAGGAGCUUGGCCUGCCCACUCCAGCCGUAUGGACGUGUGGAGCACCUGCUUUGUGUCUUAAGGCACCUUCUUUCAGGUGCCCUGGGAGAGCAGCUGGGGUGUGGCAUGUGAUUAGGAGCAGGAGCUCUGAGACCAAGAGGCUUGUGAGCCCAUCCUCCCUUCCCAUUUGCCCCCUGGGAGUCUUGGACCAAUUCUCUAACCUCUCUGAGCCUCAGUUCCAUCUGUAAAAUGUAGGAAAUAAUAUUUGCUCUAUAGGGGCUUGAGAGGAUUAAAUGAUAUCAUAAAUGCAAACUGGCCCACACUAAGUGCUCAUUCAGAAUCCAUUGCCAUUAUUAGACCACAUCCCAGGGCUAGAUAGCGGUGCUCCUCUCUUAUUCCCUUCUGUUUUGUUCUGUUUGGGCCACUAGAACAGAAUGCCACAGACUGAGUGGCUUAUAAACAAUAGACAUUUAUCUUUCUGGGGGCCGGGAAGUCCAAGAUCAAGGUGCCAGUAGACCAGUGUCUCAUGAGGACCUGCCUUCUGGUUCAUACGGGGCCAUCUUCUUGCUGAGUCUUCACACGGCAUGAGACAGCCCUCUGGGGUCUUUUCUAUAAGGACAUUAAUCCCAUUCAUGAGGGUUUUCCCUUCAUAACCUAAGUACCUCCCAAAGGCCCAAUCCCCAAAUAUUAUCACCUUGGGGAUUAGGAUUUCAACCUAUGAAUUUGGGGGAAGCACAAGCAUUCAGUCAUACUGAGUUUCCCCCUUAUUCUUAGAUGAUUUAUUUCUUCUUCUGGCUCAAGCCCUGGCUCAGAGCAGAGAGUAGACUCAGUUUGUGCCACCUGUGUGCUUACCUCACUCUCUAUCCACAGUGGCUCAAGUGACAUCUUAACCAUUCCCAAGGUCAUAGAGCCAGGGGUCACCACUGCUGCUGCCACCACAGCAGAUGGAGAAGUCCAUUGUCUCAAUUUUUCUCUCAGGGAA